RNAcentral lists this ribosomal RNA (359 nucleotides) under Cyanobacterium sp. K16. RNAcentral describes it as "bacterial SSU rRNA". It matches the Rfam family "Bacterial small subunit ribosomal RNA", at positions 369 to 744 of the family's 1533-position model. The record is from RNAcentral. Lineage: Bacteria; Bacillati; Cyanobacteriota; Cyanophyceae; Chroococcales; Geminocystaceae.
CAAUGGGCGAAAGCCUGACGGAGCAAUACCGCGUGAGGGAGGAAGGCUCUUGGGUUGUAAACCUCAAAACUUAGGGAAGAAGAAAGUGACGGUACCUAAUAUAAGCAUCGGCUAACUCCGUGCCAGCAGCCGCGGUAAUACGGAGGAUGCAAGCGUUAUCCGGAAUCAUUGGGCGUAAAGCGUCCGUAGGUGGCAUUUCAAGUCUGCUGUCAAAGACCGAAGCUCAACUUCGGGUAGGCGGUGGAAACUGAAAAGCUAGAGUAAAGUAGGGGUAGAGGGAAUUCCUAGUGUAGCGGUGAAAUGCGUAGAGAUUAGGAAGAACACCAGUGGCGAAGGCGCUCUACUGGACUUAAACUGAC